This 400-nucleotide ribosomal RNA is filed under the name uncultured bacterium. RNAcentral's name for it is "bacterial SSU rRNA". It matches the Rfam family "Bacterial small subunit ribosomal RNA", at positions 355 to 751 of the family's 1533-position model. The record is from RNAcentral.
UGAGGAAUAUUGGUCAAUGGGCGAGAGCCUGAACCAGCCAAGUCGCGUGAAGGAUGAAGGAUCUAUGGUUUGUAAACUUCUUUUAUACGGGAAUAAAGUUCAGGACGUGUCCUGUUUUGUAUGUACCGUUAUGAAUAAGCAUCGGCUAACUCCGUGCCAGCAGCCGCGGUAAUACGGAGGAUGCGAGCGUUAUCCGGAUUUAUUGGGUUUAAAGGGUGCGUAGGUGGUAGAUUAAGUCAGCGGUGAAAGUUUGUCGCUCAACGAUAAAAUUGCCGUUGAUACUGGUUUACUUGAGUAUAGUUGAAGUAGGCGGAAUGCGUGGUGUAGCGGUGAAAUGCAUAGAUAUCACGCAGAACUCCGAUUGCGAAGGCAGCUUACUAAGUUAUAACUGACACUGAAG